Molecule: RNA transcript, 1759 nt
Organism: Quercus robur (English oak)
Lineage: Eukaryota; Viridiplantae; Streptophyta; Magnoliopsida; Fagales; Fagaceae
Gene name: serine/arginine-rich-splicing factor SR34-like
Exons: 15
Source: RefSeq, a predicted model, not a curated record
CUACCCAACCAUAGUUUAUGUACUUAACCAAACCCUGUACCGUCUCUCAUUCAUUCAUUCCUUGUUCCCAAGAGUCAAAAAAAGAAAAAAAGAAUUCAAAACCCUAAUCUUCAAAAGUCGUCUCCUUCGCCUCUGCGGUUUCAACCUCGAUCUCCCAAUUGACAAAGGGAAGAUGAGUAGCCGUGCGAGCCGAACCCUCUAUGUGGGUAAUCUUCCAGCUGAUAUUCGUGAAAGAGAAGUGGAGGAUUUGUUUUACAAGUUUGGACGCAUAGCUCACAUUGAUCUGAAGGUCCCGCCAAGGCCCCCGGGUUAUGCAUUUGUUGAGUUUGAAGAUCCUCAAGAUGCUGAAGAUGCCAUUCGCAACCGUGAUGGCUACGAUUUUGAUGGGCAUCGGCUACGGGUGGAACUUGCACAUGGUGGCCGGGGACAUUCAUCAUCAAGAGAUCGCUAUAGUAGUUAUAGCAGUGGUCGGAGUGGACGUGGUGGAGUAUCCAGGCGCUCUGAAUUUCGUGUUCUUGUUAGUGGAUUGCCUCCUUCUGCUUCAUGGCAAGACCUUAAGGAUCACAUGCGACAAGCUGGGGAUGUUUGUUUUUCCCAAGUUUUCCGUGAUGGUAACGGCACAACAGGGAUUGUGGAUUAUGCAAACUAUGAAGACAUGAAGUAUGCACUAAAAAAACUUGAUGAUUCUGAGUUCCGGAAUGCAUUUUCUCGGGCAUAUGUUCGAGUUAGGGAAUAUGAUUCAAGGAGGGAUUCCUCUAGGAGCCCUAGUCGUGGUCGAUCUUACUCAAGAGGCAGGAGUUACAGCCGUAGUCGUAGCCAUAGUCGUAGUCGGGGCAGGAGCCUGAGCAAGUCUCCAAAAACCAAACCUUCGCGCCGCUCACCUGUAAAAUCUCGGUCGAGGUCUGCUUCUCGCUCUCGCUCUGCUUCAAAGCCGCGUUCUUUGUCUGGAUAUGGAUACAUGCAGCGAAGUGGGGAUUGGAUAUUAGGAUCUUGAUGGGAUAGUUCAGUUGCCUGCAACUCUUUUGGUUGUGGAGGUAUGCUGUUUUUUAGAUGGGCAACUUUGGAAACCUUGAUGGUGCCUCUGUUCUAAUGCUUUUAGCAUUGCAAAUGUCCAUGGGUGCUAGAUUGGGAACAAAGGAGAUCAUGGUUGCAAAAGUAAAGCUGGAUAUCUCUGAACUAAGUGCCAUUGGGAUUUGGAUAUCACCAUCAAUGAGCAAUAGGGACAAUUUCAUUAUCAUCUUCUGCUCCAACAUUUGCCAAGCUAAUAGGCGCACUAUCUGGCUUCUGUGGAUUUUUGUGGUACAGUAGGGAAAAAUUCUCCUCUCUGUCCACUGGUGUCUUAAAAAUACAUUGUGAUGCUUUCAUUAAGAUCACGAUCAAGGUCCAGAUCUCCAUUGCCUACGCGUCCAAAACGUAUGAGUAAAAGCCCAAAGAAGCGCAGUCCAAGCAGGAGCCCAAGCAGGAGCAGGAGCAGGAGCAAGAGUUUAUCCAGGUAAGAGAUAUGAUUGCUGCUGAUGUAAUUCCUGAAAGUUUGAUAAGGGUGAGGUUUUUUAACUUCAUCGGCAAAUCCUAGCAGUUGUAGGCCUAUUAUAUGAACAGACUUAUCAGACUGGAGUUGGAUUUUAAACUAUCAACAUGUUAUUUAAAUCCUUGUGAAUCCUUGAAUUGGAACUUAAACGUUUACCGUGUUGCUGUAUUGCACAAGAGAUUUGCCAAAUUCCAGCUUAACGUAUAUUUAUGGUGGUGGAUAUUGAUACUU